Molecule: ribosomal RNA, 281 nt
Filed under: uncultured bacterium
Lineage: Bacteria
Description: partial 16S ribosomal RNA
Rfam family: Bacterial small subunit ribosomal RNA
Source: RNAcentral
ACUCCUACGGGAGGCAGCAGUGGGAAUAUUGCACAAUGGGGAAGCCCAUCGAUGCAGCCAUGCCGCGUGUGUGAAGAAGGCCAUUCGGGCUUGUAAAGACNCUUUCAGCGAGGAGGAAAGGGUGUGUGUUAAUACCAUACAUCUGUGACGUUACUCGCAGAAGAAGCACCGGCUAACUCCGUGCCAGCAGCCGCGGUAAUACGGAGGGUGCGAGCGUUAAUCGGAAUUACUGGGCGUAAAGCGUGCGCAGGCGGUUUGUUAAGCGAGAUGUGAAAGCCCGC